RNAcentral lists this ribosomal RNA (253 nucleotides) under uncultured bacterium. RNAcentral describes it as "partial 16S ribosomal RNA". It matches the Rfam family "Bacterial small subunit ribosomal RNA", at positions 524 to 776 of the family's 1533-position model. The record is from RNAcentral.
UACGGGGGGGGCAAGCGUUGUUCGGAAUUAUUGGGCGUAAAGGGCGCGUAGGCGGCUGAACAAGUCAAAGGUGAAAUCCCUCGGCUCAACUGAGGAACUGCCUUUGAAACUGUUCGGCUUGAGGCCGGGAGGGGGUAGCGGAAUUCCCAGUGUAGCGGUGAAAUGCGUAGAUAUUGGGAGGAACACCAGUGGCGAAGGCGGCUACCUGGACCGGUUCUGACGCUGAGGCGCGAAAGCGUGGGUAGCAAACAGG